This 1225-nucleotide long non-coding RNA is filed under the name Chloebia gouldiae (Gouldian finch). RNAcentral describes it as "Erythrura gouldiae (Gouldian finch) lncRNA (ENSEGOG00005014883.1)". The record is from RNAcentral. Lineage: Eukaryota; Metazoa; Chordata; Aves; Passeriformes; Passeridae.
AGCCUGGCGCAGCUCUGCCGGCUCUCGGUGCGCCGCGCCGCCGGCCGGCGCGGCCUGGCCAGGAUGGCCGAGCUGCAAAUCCCGCCCCGGCUCAUCCGCUACCUCUGCUACGACUGACGGAGCCAGGGAGAGCCGCAAUUCCCGGGAAAACCCGCGGGACCGGGAGAACCCUGCUGCUCUUCUGCCUCCCCCCAGGCCCUUUAAUUUCAGUUCAGGCACUGCUGUAAAUAGGAACUGCCAGGGUUUGUCCUCCUCUCUCUCGGCUUUCUUGGAAUUUCCCGCGUGGGAUUCCCUCAUUUUCCCGGAUUUCCUGGGUGGGAUCCAGCUGGAGGGGAGGGAAAUGGGAUAAUCGGGGAGUGGGAAUCAUUCCAGCUGGGAAUUCCUUGAUCGGGAGCGGCUCUGAUCCCAUUUCUGAUCCCAUUUUUCCCUGCACAGACCCCUUUGAUCCCAUUUCUGAUCCCACUUCUGAUCCCGUUUUUCCCAUUUUUUCCCAUUUUUCCCUGCAGAGACAUCUCCGAUCCCCUUUUAUGAUCCCGUUUUUCCUGGUUUUAUCCCAUUUUGAUCCCAUUUUUCCCUGCAGAGACCCCUCUGAUCCCAACUUUCCCGUUUUUAUCCCCUCACCCAUCCCCUUCUGGAUGAUCCAGGACCCCUUUCCCUGCUGGCUGCAGAGGGAUUGGGAGGGAAAAUCCUUGGAUUCCCAAAUCCUUGGAUUUGGAUGGGAUCCCACCCUUGGGAAUAACUCCAGGGACAGCUGUGAGCCCGGCUGGGGGCAAAUUAAUUCCCUGUUAAUUCCCUAAAUGAAUUCCCUAAAUUAACAAUUCCCUAAAUGAAUUCCCUAAACUAACGAUUCCCUAAAGGAAUCCCCUAAAUGAACAAGCUCAGAGCUAAUUAGAGGUACUGCAGCUCAUUUAUUUAGGGAAUUUUUAGGGUUUUCCAGGAGCAUCCAGAGGCUUUGGAUCAACACCAGGAAUGCUGCUGGGAUUUAGGAGCACUCCAGGCACCAUCCUGGAAUUCCAGCUUGGAAAACUGGGAAUGACCUGUGGGCUGUGGCCUCUCCUGAUCCAUGAAUUGCUGGGAAUAAUUCCAUUUAGCCCAUUAAUCCCAUCAAUCCCAUCUAACCCAUUUGUCCCAUUAAUUCCAAUUCCAAGCCAAUCCCAGUUUAUUUGAUCCCAGCUGGAAUUUUUUGGGAUCUUCCCUGCAUUUUUAGGAGCACCUGGAUCUCCUC